AGAGUUUGAUCCUGGCUCAGGACGAACGCUGGCGGCGUGCCUAACACAUGCAAGUCGAGCGGGGUCCAUCCAGUGGCAACACUGGGGAAGACCUAGCGGCGAACGGGUGAGUAACACGUGAGGAACCUGCCCCGAAGACCGGGAUAACCCGAGGAAACUCGAGCUAAUACCGGAUACCCCCAUGAGAUCGCAUGGUCACAUGAGGAAAUGUCUUUUCGCUUCGGGAGGGCCUCGCGGCCUAUCAGCUAGUUGGCGGGGUAACGGCCCACCAAGGCAUCGACGGGUAGCUGGUCUGAGAGGACGAUCAGCCACACUGGGACUGAGACACGGCCCAGACUCCUACGGGAGGCAGCAGUGGGGAAUCUUGCGCAAUGGGCGAAAGCCUGACGCAGCAACGCCGCGUGGGGGACGAAGGCUCUCGGGUUGUAAACCCCUUUCAGGAGGGACGAAAUUGACGGUACCUCCAGAAGAAGCCCCGGCCAACUACGUGCCAGCAGCCGCGGUAACACGUAGGGGGCGAGCGUUGUCCGGAUUUAUUGGGCGUAAAGAGCUCGUAGGUGGCUCGGUAAGUCGGGUGUGAAAUUUCGAGGCUCAACCUCGAGACGCCACCUGAUACUGCUGUGGCUAGAGUCCGGUAGGGGAGCGUGGAAUUCCUGGUGUAGCGGUGAAAUGCGCAGAUAUCAGGAGGAACACCAGCGGCGAAGGCGGCGCUCUGGGCCGGUACUGACACUGAGGAGCGAAAGCGUGGGGAUCAAACAGGAUUAGAUACCCUGGUAGUCCACGCCGUAAACGUUGGGCACUAGGUGUGGGGUUCUAUCAACGGACUCCGUGCCGAAGCUAACGCAUUAAGUGCCCCGCCUGGGGAGUACGGCCGCAAGGCUAAAACUCAAAGGAAUUGACGG
This 902-nucleotide ribosomal RNA is filed under the name uncultured bacterium. RNAcentral describes it as "bacterial SSU rRNA". It matches the Rfam family "Bacterial small subunit ribosomal RNA", at positions 8 to 916 of the family's 1533-position model. The record is from RNAcentral.